This 30-nucleotide non-coding RNA is filed under the name Rattus norvegicus (Norway rat). Lineage: Eukaryota; Metazoa; Chordata; Mammalia; Rodentia; Muridae. The record is from RNAcentral.
UUGGUGGAAUUUGGAAAACCUAGCACAGUC